GACGAACGCUGGCGGCGUGCUUAACACAUGCAAGUGGAGCGACGAACCGGUCUUCGGACCGGGGCAGAGCCGCGAACGGGUGAGUAACACGUGGGUAACCCACCCCGAUGACCGGGACAACCCGAGGAAACUCGGGCUAAUACCGGAUGAGCUCUCAUCUUUUGAGAGAUGUGAGGAAAGAUAGCCUCGGCCUUCGCAUCGGGACGGGCCCGCGGCCCAUUAGCUUGUUGGUGGGGUAACGGCCUACCAAGGCGACGAUGGUAGCUGGUCUGAGAGGACGAUCAGCCACACUGGGACUGAGACACGGCCCAGACUCCUACGGGAGGGCAGCAGUGGGGAAUCUUGCACAAUGCGCGAAAGCGUGAUGCAGCAACGCCGCGUGGGGGAAGAAGGCCUCGG
RNAcentral lists this ribosomal RNA (399 nucleotides) under uncultured bacterium. RNAcentral describes it as "bacterial SSU rRNA". It matches the Rfam family "Bacterial small subunit ribosomal RNA", at positions 28 to 420 of the family's 1533-position model. The record is from RNAcentral.